AUUGAACGCUGGCGGAAUGCUUUACACAUGCAAGUCGAACGGUAGAGGGGCAACCCUUGAGAGUGGCGAACGGGUGAGUAAUGUAUCGGAACAUGCCCAGUCGUGGGGGAUAACGUAGCGAAAGUUACGCUAAUACCGCAUACGAUCUAUGGAUGAAAGCGGGGGAUCGCAAGACCUCGCGCGAUUGGAGUGGCCGAUAUCAGAUUAGGUAGUUGGUGGGGUAAAGGCCUACCAAGCCGACGAUCUGUAGCUGGUCUGAGAGGACGACCAGCCACACUGGGACUGAGACACGGCCCAGACUCCUACGGGAGGCAGCAGUGGGGAAUUUUGGACAAUGGGCGAAAGCCUGAUCCAGCCAUUCCGCGUGCAGGAAGAAGGCCUUCGGGUUGUAAACUGCUUUUGUACGGAACGAAACGCGCUGUGCUAAUACCACGGCGUAAUGACGGUACCGUAAGAAUAAGCACCGGCUAACUACGUGCCAGCAGCCGCAGUAA
RNAcentral lists this ribosomal RNA (494 nucleotides) under uncultured bacterium. RNAcentral describes it as "partial 16S ribosomal RNA". It matches the Rfam family "Bacterial small subunit ribosomal RNA", at positions 30 to 523 of the family's 1533-position model. The record is from RNAcentral.